AAGAAGUUGAGUUUUUUGAAUCUCUUGAUUCUCAGAAUUCAACUCCAGCUCCUCCAUGAAUCUUCAAAGUAUGACAGGUAGUUAAGGUAGGAAGCUGCACUUUUGUUCUUUUUGACGUGAAUAUGCAGCCUUAACAAUGGACGGGAUAGUACUGACUUUGAAGCUGCUUUUUGUCUACUUUUUGAUGCGAUAAGCAUGCUUUUGUAUAACAAACAACUUGCU
Arabidopsis lyrata subsp. lyrata is the source of this 222-nucleotide long non-coding RNA. RefSeq lists it as uncharacterized. NCBI's taxonomy places the organism in Eukaryota, Viridiplantae, Streptophyta, Magnoliopsida, Brassicales, Brassicaceae. The record is from RefSeq and is a predicted model, not a curated record. The transcript is spliced from 3 exons.